UACGUAGGGGGCAAGCGUUGUCCGGAAUCAUUGGGCGUAAAGAGCGUGUAGGCGGCUCGGCAAGUCGGCUGUGAAAGUCCAGGGCUCAACCCUGGGAUGCCGGUCGAUACUGCCGGGCUAGAGUUCGGAAGAGGCGAGUGGAAUUCCCGGUGUAGCGGUGAAAUGCGCAGAUAUCGGGAGGAACACCUAUGGCGAAGGCAGCUCGCUGGGACGUUACUGACGCUGAGACGCGAAAGCGUGGGGAGCAAACAGG
Molecule: ribosomal RNA, 253 nt
Filed under: uncultured bacterium
Lineage: Bacteria
Description: partial 16S ribosomal RNA
Rfam family: Bacterial small subunit ribosomal RNA
Source: RNAcentral